GCGCUCGUAGCUCAGCUGGAUAGAGUACCUGGCUACGAACCAGGCGGUCAGAGGUUCGAAUCCUCUCGAGCGC
RNAcentral lists this transfer RNA (73 nucleotides) under Vibrio cholerae. Its description in RNAcentral is "tRNA-Arg". It matches the Rfam family "tRNA". From Rfam's summary of the family: Transfer RNA (tRNA) molecules are approximately 80 nucleotides in length. Their secondary structure includes four short double-helical elements and three loops (D, anti-codon, and T loops). Further hydrogen bonds mediate the characteristic L-shaped molecular structure. tRNAs have two regions of fundamental functional importance: the anti-codon, which is responsible for specific mRNA codon recognition, and the 3' end, to which the tRNAs corresponding amino acid is attached (by aminoacyl-tRNA synthetases). tRNAs cope with the degeneracy of the genetic code in two manners: having more than one tRNA (with a specific anti-codon) for a particular amino acid; and 'wobble' base-pairing, i.e. permitting non-standard base-pairing at the 3rd anti-codon position. Lineage: Bacteria; Pseudomonadati; Pseudomonadota; Gammaproteobacteria; Vibrionales; Vibrionaceae. RNAcentral also lists the same sequence under 3 other names. The record is from RNAcentral.